CGUGGUCUGCCUUGAUGUCUUAAUUUGCCCUCCUAGAUCCAUGGUCUGACAUCCUUUUUGAAGUCUAUUGUGUAACUCUUUUGUGUGGGAGGGUGGGGGGUGGGAGGUAGGGAUCUUGCAGUUGUUCAGGUUAGCUUCAGCUCACAGCAGUCUUCCUGCCUCGGUCUCCCAAGUGCUGGAACUACAGAUGUUUACUUAGUUUUUACUUAGUGUCUUUGUCCCCCACUGUACGUGAUUUCUGAUCACAGCUGUGCACACACCUUCUUACCUGUGUAGAUGUCUGUAGGGUAUGUAUACUGCUGAGCAUGGAAAAUGCUGACAAGUAAGAUAAGAGUACUUAAGGAGCAUUUGGGGGACAGGGACCAAGCUCAACAAAAUUCUAAACAGACAUUUUGAAACCUUUACAGUAGUUUUCUUAGUUAUAAGGUCUGAUACCAAUUUUACCUAAAGUGUAGAUGGGAAUUCUUGAGACCUGUAUAAAAGCAAACUUUUUUUCCCUAGUGUACUAAAAAAAUGUGUUUCAAAACAUUUCAUUUAAUGUGUGAAGACAUUAUGAAGAUCAGAUGCCUGGUUGCUCUCAAGAGCACCCAACUCUUUAUGCACGGAGAGCUGGCAAGUUCAUGUUCUUAAGUGGGAAAUGCCUAUGUUCUAAGGACUGUUUGGAAGUGUGUUCUACAAACUGCUGUCUAGAAUAAAUACUCAGUGUUUCACC
Molecule: long non-coding RNA, 712 nt
Filed under: Rattus norvegicus (Norway rat)
Lineage: Eukaryota; Metazoa; Chordata; Mammalia; Rodentia; Muridae
Description: long non-coding RNA NONRATT023364
Source: RNAcentral